GCAAGUACCAAGGAGCAUCCCAAGCCGCCUGCUUAUUCCAACCUAUCCCCCUUCCACACCCUCCCCUCACAGGCGGGCACAGCGGACAAGUGGAGAAUCAGACGGCGACCAUCUUCCUGAGAGGAUUCAAGCCUCCAUGGGGAAGUUUUAUUUGAUCUCAAAUUUUGUGAGUUCCAAGAAUACAAGAUAGGUCUUGUUUCAGAAUCAAAUCCAACCCAAAGUGCCAUUUGGGCUAUUUAAAUUUUGGAUUUUUCAUGAUAGUCCCCUCAAUCACUGCAGAGACUCUAAAAAGUGCUAUAUAAUAUUUCACAAUGAAUUUAAUUGUUACUUCUGCUUCAUUCUAUAAAUAUUAGAAGUUCACAACCCUUCAGGGUGGUAGGGCAAUUAUCUAGUAAGAAAAAUUGGUUUGAGUGGGGCAGAGUGUAGAUGAGUUAAACCAAUUAGCAAUUCAAACUGUUUCACAAAUAAUCCAGAGGGCCUGGGGAUUUAGCUCAGCGGCAAAAGCGCCUGCCUGGCAAGUGCAAGGUCGUGAGUUCGGUUCCCGGUACCGGAGAAAAAAC
Molecule: long non-coding RNA, 560 nt
Filed under: Chinchilla lanigera (long-tailed chinchilla)
Lineage: Eukaryota; Metazoa; Chordata; Mammalia; Rodentia; Chinchillidae
Description: lncRNA (ENSCLAG00000026246.1)
Source: RNAcentral